AAUAAAUGUAACUAUUUUAACUGAAAUUAUAUAAAUACCUAAUAAUUUUUGUAUAGUAUAUAUAAAACUAAUAUAUUUUAUCAAAAUUUAUGUACAAAUAUCUAAUUUUAUAUCGGAACCAAUGUAAAUCAGAAAUGUUUGCAUUGUUUUCCUAAUGUAAAUGGCCACAAAAACAAUCAUACAUGCAAACCAAAUAGAUCACUAUAGCCUAUAGGUUCGUGUAUUUCAUUAUGGACAUAAUCAUAAUAAACAUUAGUAUAAUAUAGAUUUUUUGUAAUUAAAAAUGUUGAACAGUCUUGUAACUAUUUUAGUUAUUUGUUUGAAUAUCUUUUUUU
RNAcentral lists this long non-coding RNA (335 nucleotides) under Brassica napus (rape). Its description in RNAcentral is "long non-coding RNA (BNAP_LNC010756)". Lineage: Eukaryota; Viridiplantae; Streptophyta; Magnoliopsida; Brassicales; Brassicaceae. The record is from RNAcentral.